This 458-nucleotide ribosomal RNA is filed under the name uncultured bacterium. Its description in RNAcentral is "partial 16S ribosomal RNA". It matches the Rfam family "Bacterial small subunit ribosomal RNA", at positions 338 to 795 of the family's 1533-position model. The record is from RNAcentral.
CCUACGGGGCGCAGCAGUGAGGAAUAUUGGUCAAUGGGCGAGAGCCUGAACCAGCCAAGUAGCGUGAGGGAGUACUGCCCUAUGGGUUUUAAACCUCUUUUGUCGGGGAGCAAAAGCCGGACGUGUCCGGCUUUGAGAGUACCGGAAGACAAAGCAUAGGCUAACUCCGUACCAGCAGCCGCGGUAAUACGGAGGCUUCGAGCGUUCUCCUGAUUUGUUGGGUUUAAAGGGUGCGCAGGCGGAUUUUUAAGUCAGCGGUAAAAUCGUGGGGCUCAACCCCAUCCCGACGUUGAAACUGGGGAUCUAGAGUGUGCGAGAGGUAUGCGGAAGGCGUGGUGUAGCGGUGAAAUGCAUAGAUAUCACGAAGAACCCCGAUUGCGAAGGCAGCAUACCGGUGCACAACUGACGCUCAGGCACGAAAGCGUGGGUAUCGAACAGGAUUAGAUACCCCUGUAGUC